Molecule: ribosomal RNA, 253 nt
Filed under: uncultured bacterium
Lineage: Bacteria
Description: partial 16S ribosomal RNA
Rfam family: Bacterial small subunit ribosomal RNA
Source: RNAcentral
CACGUAGGGCGCGAGCGUUGUCCGGAAUUAUUGGGCGUAAAGAGCUCGUAGGCGGCCUGUUGCGUCCGCUGUGAAAGCCCGGGGCUUAACCCCGGGUCGGCAGUGGAUACGGGCAGGCUAGAGGUAGGUAGGGGAGAAUGGAAUUCCCGGUGUAGCGGUGAAAUGCGCAGAUAUCGGGAGGAACACCGGUGGCGAAGGCGGUUCUCUGGGCCUUACCUGACGCUGAGGAGCGAAAGCGUGGGGAGCAAAACGG